This 352-nucleotide transfer-messenger RNA is filed under the name Actinomycetota (actinobacteria). RNAcentral's name for it is "AC-51 sp005883885 Standard tmRNA". It matches the Rfam family "transfer-messenger RNA". From Rfam's summary of the family: Bacterial tmRNA, also known as 10Sa RNA or SsrA, is named for its dual tRNA and mRNA-like properties. Its role is to liberate the mRNA from a stalled ribosome. Lineage: Bacteria; Bacillati. RNAcentral also lists the same sequence under 1 other name. The record is from RNAcentral.
GGGGGUGUACUGGUUUCGACUCGGACGGAUAACCGUCUGGGUGAAGCGGGCCGUGAUCCCGGAUGUCACGUAAAACGCCGGACCAACACAAGCGCCAACGACGAGUUCGCGCUCGCUGCCUAGUCUCUAGGUAGCCGCCCGCCUCGUGUGCCUGCGGUCGGGGUACGGGCGUCAUUGAGCAGGCUCACCACGAGGGUUCCGCCUGGGGGCCGUCGCGGAACAUCGCACCCGGGCUGGCCGAGGGGCCUUCCGCCGGUGGAGACCCCGAGGUGAGAUCCAUACGCCGGCUGCGCCCGGAGAAGCCCCAGAUGGUCGGCCGAGCACAGGGGUUCGAAUCCCCUCACCUCCACCA